RNAcentral lists this ribosomal RNA (702 nucleotides) under uncultured Passalora. RNAcentral's name for it is "LSU rRNA". It matches the Rfam family "Eukaryotic large subunit ribosomal RNA", at positions 44 to 611 of the family's 3401-position model. Lineage: Eukaryota; Fungi; Ascomycota; Dothideomycetes; Mycosphaerellales; Mycosphaerellaceae. The record is from RNAcentral.
CAAUAAGCGGAGGAAGAGAAACCAACAGGGAUUGCCUUAGUAACGGCGAGUGAGGCGGCAACAGCUCAAAUUUGAAAUCUGGCGCAAGCCCGAGUUGUAAUUUGGAGAGGAUGCUUACUGGGCAGCGGUCGGCUUAAGUUUCUUGGAACAGAACGUCACAGAGGGUGAGAAUCCCGUAUGUGGUCGACUCGCACCCUGUCACGUAGUCUCCUUCGACGAGUCGAGUUGUUUGGGAAUGCAGCUCAAAAUGGGAGGUAAAUUGUCUCCUAAGGCUAAAUAUCGGCCAGAGACCGAUAGCGCACAAGUAGAGUGAUCGAAAGAUGAAAAGCACUUUGGAAAGAGAGUUAAAAAGCACGUGAAAUUGUUGAAAGGGAAGCGCUUGCUGCCAGACUUAUAGACGGUGUUCCGCCGGUCUUCUGACCGGUACACUCGCCGUCCGUAAGCCAACAUCAUCUGAUGGCCGGGGGAGCAAAGGUGUAGGGGAAAUUGUACACUCCCCCCGGGGGAGGUGUUGAUAAGGCCCCCUUCACCCCCAAUAACCGGUCGGCGUGGUUCCCGGGUGGAGGGGUUCCCGCGCCCUUUCCGGGCCCCAAGGGAAUUGUUGGGUGGGCGGUAAAUUGGGGCCAAGGUAAAAGCCCCGGGCCCCCCGGUCCCUCUUGGAAAAAACCAAACCGGGGAACCCCAAGAGGGGCAGGAANAGUA